CCAGCCUAGCUGCUGCCUUGCAGUUUGAUCUCAGACUGCUGUGCUAGCAAUCAGCGAGAUUCCGUGGGCGUAGGACCCUCCGAGCCAGGUGUGGGAUAUAGUCUCAUGGUGCCCCGUUUUUUAAGCCGGUCUGAAAAGCGCAGUAUUCGGGUGGGAGUGACCCGAUUUUCCAGAAUCUAUCCCCAACAAAUGGGGGAAACAUUUGGAAUGGAAGCUUAUCUUUCAAAUGUGGAAGUUCUCAUCACUCCUGGAAGUGAGUAGCUACCUAGCACUACUCCUGCCCCUGCCACGAGAACACACCCUUUCCAGUUUGCUGGAGAAAUAUAAGAGAAGUCCAGUGAAAGAGAGCUGAGUUUCCCCAAUGAUGCCAUCAAGAUGAACUAACUACAGUUAACCAGCCAGCUGAUAGCAGAUGCAUGAGUGAGCCCAGCUGAGAGCAGGUGAAACUGAAAUUGGCUGUAUCAUCUGAAACUUCAUCUGUGAAGUCCCUGGUGGUUUCCUAGAUGACUACACAGUUGAGUUGCCUCUGAUUGGAAAAGCAGUGUUUUGGUUUUUCAGUUUGUACAAGAGGAAGAAGACGCAUGAUAUGUGUUUGGCUCAUGUGCCUGAAUAUGGCUCCACAGGGAAGACUUGAUACAGCUGAAGCUAUUGCUUUUUAGAGACUUUUUAUUUUGAGCAGCUGCCUUAACAGCCUUCGUCUUGUUACAUCACAUGAGAUAUAUCUCUGGAAUAGGAAGAGAAAAAAGACAUGACUGAGCAAUAAUUUUUGACUAAAACUUAAAAUUACAAAACCAAAACCAGAGAUAGAUGUCCCUGAAGUUGUAUUUUUAUAGUAUGUGAGAACACAAUUUUCUUAUCCUAGUUUUAAGGCAUUCCUCUGGACCCAGGAUUUUUGUUUAGUUUCAUUCACAUAAUCAAACUCUUUUUUUUUUUUUUGCCAUAGACUAAUGCAUUUUGGUGUAAUGAUCUGAGCCCUUAUCCAGAAGGCAUCUAAGACUCAUGUACAAAAAUAGAUUUCAGGGCUAAACAUUCUAAAAGACAAUUGAGUGCUUCUUUUUUCUCCGGCCCCUAGAUGUAAAUGAAUAACCUCUGUUCACUAACUCUUAAUGUAAUAUAAGGGAUAAAUUAUGCUUGUUUAUUUAAUUGUGCUUAACCAGAGUACUAGGUUGGAGUCAAACCACAGAUAUAUUUGUGAGAUGUGACAAAAUGUAGCUUUUAGCCCGUAAUACCCAAGUCAUCUGGGAACAUAACUGAUGACAGUGUCAACACCUUUCAGGAAUUCUGGAGGUGCCUUUGAGUUUAGAAAUUCGUAGGUUCUCUAGAAGCAACAGUAGCAUACUAAAUUAACACAUAACAUUUCAAGCUACAUUUACAUAAUUGCAGUGGUUAUGAUUAAUACAAAUUAUAUUAACUGCCUGUUUUACUCCUUAUAGCUGAUUGGCUGAAUUUACCAGUGGGUUUGGUAUGUUCAACAAAUGAUCCAAAUUACCUUUUCAUUUCAGUUAAGAAACUAAUCAAAGCAAAUACACUUUGAUUUGUUGAGAGGCAGAGAUUCUCCCUAAGUGGCAAUGUCCUUGGCCUUCUAAGCUAAAACCUAAAUGGAACUAUAAUAUAUAUUUUGAUGCUUUAUCUCACUUGAGUUUUUUAUUCUUUAACUGAAGGGCAGCCAUGGACCAUAAAUACAUAGAAGAUAAAAAUAUAUUGAGCUUAGGAGUUUGGUCUGUUCAAUGGAUGAGAACUUUAUAUUUUCCCUUAUAAACACAAUUUUCAAAGAAUAGCCUGUAAUAGUCGUGAAAAUGGAAACCAAUACUGGGGAAAUGUGGACUGCAACUCUGAAAAGGUAUCAAAAUGCCCGAUAGUUCAACACAAGGGCUAAGCAAUAUUUCAGGGAUGUGGCCUGUCUUUGGUGGCUCGGUCACUCUAGUGAGAUGAAUUUGGAAAAGGAUAGGCAUACAGAAUCCCCCCUCUGGCAGGGUUUGCCUUUGGGGUCUGCUUAAAGCCAUGUUUGCUAGUAGAAAUCUUGAGUAACCAGAUAUGUUUUAUAAUGCUGUGUCAUAUUUAAAUUCUGAUGAGAUUGACAUCUUUAAAUAAGCUUGGACACAGAUUGGAUUUGUACAGGGAACUGGACUGAAGAAUAAUCGUAGGUCAGUAAUAGAUUUAGAUAUACUAUUUUUAUAUUGUAAGCAGUUACUUCUCAGGAUUAGUAUUCUAAUUCAUUUGAUUUAAUAUGUAAUAGGUAAUAUUAAAAAUAAAGAUUUUAUGCUUUGAAA
This is a long non-coding RNA of Homo sapiens (human), 2270 nucleotides long. Ensembl annotates it as adipocyte associated metabolic related lncRNA 1. Its record names the gene ASMER1. The record is from Ensembl. NCBI's taxonomy places the organism in Eukaryota, Metazoa, Chordata, Mammalia, Primates, Hominidae.